Manduca sexta (tobacco hornworm) is the source of this 366-nucleotide long non-coding RNA. RefSeq lists it as uncharacterized. NCBI's taxonomy places the organism in Eukaryota, Metazoa, Arthropoda, Insecta, Lepidoptera, Sphingidae. The transcript has 2 exons. The record is from RefSeq and is a predicted model, not a curated record.
GUUAUUCAUUCAUGUUGACAUUGCGUUGAUAAAUGAAACUACAGACUCGUAUUUACCUCUGCUAAAAUUGUACACAAAACCAUCCUUUUAUAGCUAAUAUUUUCACCAAAAAUUCCUGUUAUAGUUUAUUCAUUUUGUAGUUUAGUGCGAAUAUGGCGUGUAGGUUUUACCCGGGCCUGGAACCUCCAAAUAGAAUCAACCCCAGACACAAGGCUCAGACUGACAUCAACGUCUCCUUAGCCAAAGCUAAAUGGUUUCUGUAGGGGGGACGAAUUACCCUGUGAGACACAAUUUUCAUAUGUUGAAUAUUAUAAAGCCUAUUUCGAAAAACUAAAAAUUAAAUGGUUUCUGUAACAUUUUUGGAAA